RNAcentral lists this transfer RNA (86 nucleotides) under Planctomycetaceae bacterium. Its description in RNAcentral is "tRNA-Leu". It matches the Rfam family "tRNA". From Rfam's summary of the family: Transfer RNA (tRNA) molecules are approximately 80 nucleotides in length. Their secondary structure includes four short double-helical elements and three loops (D, anti-codon, and T loops). RNAcentral also lists the same sequence under 1 other name. The record is from RNAcentral. Lineage: Bacteria; Pseudomonadati; Planctomycetota; Planctomycetia; Planctomycetales; Planctomycetaceae.
GGGGAAGUGGCGAAACCGGCAGACGCAGCGGACUUAAAAUCCGCAGCCCUUCGAUGGGCGUGAGGGUUCGAGCCCCUCCUUCCCCA